GACCUCGGAUCAGGUAGGAAUACCCGCUGAACUUAAGCAUAUCAAUAAGCGGAAAAGAAACCAACAGGGAUUGCCC
This 76-nucleotide ribosomal RNA is filed under the name Xylaria sp. CBSC II-A. RNAcentral's name for it is "partial 28S rRNA". It matches the Rfam family "Eukaryotic large subunit ribosomal RNA", at positions 1 to 80 of the family's 3401-position model. Lineage: Eukaryota; Fungi; Ascomycota; Sordariomycetes; Xylariales; Xylariaceae. The record is from RNAcentral.